GUCUAUGGCCAUACCACCCUGAACAUGCCGGAUCUUGUUUGAUCUUUGAAGCUAAUCAGGGUCGGGCCUGGUUAAUACAGUGAACCCUCGUUUAUCGAGGUUAAUCGGUUCUAGACC
RNAcentral lists this ribosomal RNA (117 nucleotides) under Echinops telfairi (small Madagascar hedgehog). The record is from RNAcentral. Lineage: Eukaryota; Metazoa; Chordata; Mammalia; Afrosoricida; Tenrecidae.